This 2922-nucleotide long non-coding RNA is filed under the name Salmo salar (Atlantic salmon). Its description in RNAcentral is "lncRNA (ENSSSAG00000083794.1)". The record is from RNAcentral. Lineage: Eukaryota; Metazoa; Chordata; Actinopteri; Salmoniformes; Salmonidae.
CUUGGUCACCAUAGCAACAGUUGGCAGUUGAGGAAAUGGCUGUCAGGCAGUUUAGGUAGUUCAACUACUGCUAAUUUUACACCAAAAAUUACAGCUUGCUUGGACAGUUUCCUCACCACCACCAUCUCCAUUAGUCCAGCAGUCUACUAGUUACGGUUAAGACAGAGCCUAUAAACAACAGUGAGACUGACUACCACAGAAGGCAGCACUGGAUAGCCAUGCAGGCGAAGACAAGGCUCCCAGAACGUGAAGGCAGACGCAUUGUCCCGGCUGUAUGACACAGAGGAGCGGCCCAUGGAUCCCACUCCCGAUCUCCCCCCCUCACAGGGUAACACCGCGAUCCUGGUCGUUGUGGAUUGGUUCUCGAAGACCUGUCAUCUCCUCCCUCUGCCCGGUCUCCCUACGGCCCUACAGACUGCGGAGGCCUUGUUUACACACGUCAUCCAGCACUACGGGGUGCCUGAGGAUAUAGUGUCUGAUCGAGGUCCUCAAUUCACGUCUAGGAUCUGGAAGGCGUUCAUGGAACGUUUGGGGGUCUCGAUCAGCCUUACUUCAAGGCUUCACCCCGAGAGUAAUGGGCUGGUGGAGAGAGUAAACCAGGAUGUGGGCAGGUUUCUGAGGUCCUACUGCCAGGACCGGCCGGGGGAGUGGGUGGCGUUCGUGCCCUGGGCCGUGAUGGCACAGAACUCGCUUCGCCACUCCUCCACUAACCUCUCUCUCUUCCAUUGCGUACUGGGGUACCAGCCGGUUCUGGCACCUUGGCAUCAGAGUCAGACCGAGGCUCCUGCGGUGGACGACUGGUUCAGGCGCGUGGAAGAGACAUGGGAAGCUGUCCGUGUUCACCUUCAGCGGGCCGUGCUGCACCAAAAAGAGAAUGUAGACCGCCACCGCAGUGAGGCCCCGGUGUUCGCACUGGGGGACCAGGUCUGGCUCUCGACCCGAAACCUGCCCCUCCGCCUGCCCUGGGUCCGCGGUUUGUGGGGCCAUUUAAAGUCCUGAGGAGAGUGAACGAGGUUUGUUAUAGGUUACAGCUUCCCCCCGAUUAUCGUAUUAACCCCUCGUUCCAUGUGUCUCUCCUCAGGCCGGUGGUGGCUGGUCUGCUCCAGGAGUCUGAGGUGCGGGAGGUUCCUCCGCCCCAUCUGGACAUCGAGGGGGCCCCGGCGUACUCCGUUCGCUCCAUACUGGAUUCGAGGCGUCGGGCGAGGGGUCUUCAGUAUCUCGUGGAGUGGGAGGGGUACGGUCCGGAGGAAAGGUGCUGGGUUCCGGUUGAGGACCCUUGCAGGAGUUCCACCGUCUUCGUCCGGAUCGCCCUGAGCUUUGCCCUCCGGGUCGUCCCCGAGGCCGGUGUCGACGCGCUGCUGGAGCCACGCGUCAAGGGGUGGGUACUGUCACGACUUCCCCUGAAGUCGGUCCCUCUCCUUGUUCGGGCGACGUUCGGUGGUCGACGUCACCGGUCUUCUAGCCAUUGCCGAUCCACCUUUCAUUUUUAAUUUGUUUUGUCUUGUCUUCACACACACCUGGUUUCAAUUACAUCAAUUACAUGUUGUGUAUUUAACCCUCUGUUCCCCCCAUGUCCUUGUCCGGUAUUGUUUAUUGUAAGUGCUUGUGCACGUUAUGUCUGGUGUGCGUUGGAUUUUGUACCCAUUUAUUGAUUGUUAUGUUUUCCGGUGGUUUUUAUUAUUAAACUGCGACGUUGGAAACACAGUUUUUGCUCUCCUGCGCCAGACUUCUCUGCCGGCAGUACGCACCCCUUACACUAUUACUAAGUUUAUCAUUGCAGACAACCGUUUAACUUCACACCAAUGCACAAAAGAUGUUCAUGUAGUGUCACCAUUACUCGCACUCUUGUUACAAAAUAUGCUUUUAUCAUGAUCCUAUGACUCAUCUUUUAUGCAGUGGUGGUGGAAUGGACAAUCAAACAUUGGAUAAUAAAAUGGCCAUGCAGUCUGUUUUAUUGUGCUUUCUGUCCAUUCUUUUGAAAGAUUGUGGAUUGUCCUACAUGAAAUUCUCUGAAGGAUGAGGAAAGGAUCCAGCAGGUUUGUCCUAGAGGAAAGUGGCCCCAAAAAUCCUGCGGAAUAUCCUGCAGGACUUCCUAUCCUAUACAGUAUAUUCUGCUGGAUUCCCGCAGAAUUUUUCAUGCAGGAUUCCUGUAGGGAAUUAUUAAUUUUUUUAGAUCGCUAUGACUUGUUGGUAAUUUAGAUUCUAAAGUGCUUGUUUUUUUCUUCUCUUUUUUUGUGUAUUCUGACAUUUCAGGAGAAAUCUUAGUUUGUUAAUGAUUUAUUAACAAGGGAUUAUAAAUCAGCUCUCUAUGUUCUUUUGUAUGAACUUGUGAUAAAAAAAGUCCAAUACCAUGACAAAUAUCUCCUUCCUUCUGGUCCUAGCUGAGGAAGUAAAGUGAAGAAAAACCUAAGGGAUUAAAGGGUACUAAUGUCCUUGUAAUAGCUAUGGCAGACAGAGGCACAGGGAUGGGGAGAAUGAUGCAGUGCUGGAGCCUGAGCUGUCUAGGGUUGAAACGACUAUAGCAAACACCCAGUAAACAUCCAUCAGACAGUAGAGAGAGGAGGAAGGAGAGAGGGGGAUAGAGAAAAAGGGAGGAAGAGAGUGAGGAAGCUCCUCAUCACUGACCUCUCUAGAACCACAAAUCUUUUCGCUUAAUUGGAGAUCGUCCCGUAUCGAUUUUCAUCAGUCUCUUUAUUUGCCGUAGCAGCCACACAUAACCAGGGGGGACAUUUAGUGUCACUGCUAAAAUGUCCCAUCUCUGAAAUGUGAUUAAAUUGAAUCAUUGCAGAAAAUGGAUAAAGUAAACAUAUCACAGUUUUGGGGUGUCUUUUUAGCCUUUUAAAAAGAAAAUUGCAUUUCACUUGUUUUUUGUGUAUUAUUAGCUGGACAGAAUGCAAUACUUUUCUUUUUAUGGGUAAAUGU